GAGUUUGAUCCUGGCUCAGGAUGAACGCUGGCGGCGUGCUUAACACAUGCAAGUCGAACGAAGCACUCUUUUAGAUUUCCUUCGGGGAAGAAGAAAUUGUGGCUGAGUGGCGGACGGGUGAGUAACGCGUGGGCAACCUGCCCCAUACAGGGGGAUAACAGCCGGAAACGGCUGCUAAAACCGCAUAAGCGCACAAGGGCCGCAUGGCCUGGUGUGAAAAACUCCGGUGGUAUGGGAUGGGCCCGCGUCUGAUUAGCUAGUUGGCGGGGGAGAGGCCCACCAAGGCGACGAUCAGUAGCCGACCUGAGAGGGUGGCCGGCCACAUUGGGACUGAGACACGGCCCAAACUCCUACGGGAGGCAGCAGUGGGGAAUAUUGCACAAUGGGGGAAACCCUGAUGCAGCGACGCCGCGUGAGCGAAGAAGUAUUUCGGUAUGUAAAGCUCUAUCAGCAGGGAAGAAAAAUGACGGUACCUGAGUAAGAAGCACCGGCUAAAUACGUGCCAGCAGCCGCGGUAAUACGUAUGGUGCAAGCGUUAUCCGGAUUUACUGGGUGUAAAGGGAGCGCAGGCGGUGCGGCAAGUCUGAUGUGAAAGCCCGGGGCUCAACCCCGGGACUGCAUUGGAAACUACCGAACUAGA
RNAcentral lists this ribosomal RNA (640 nucleotides) under uncultured bacterium. RNAcentral describes it as "bacterial SSU rRNA". It matches the Rfam family "Bacterial small subunit ribosomal RNA", at positions 9 to 645 of the family's 1533-position model. The record is from RNAcentral.